GUUAUCUAUUAAUUAUUUUGAUAUGUAUCCCAUUCAUAAUUGGAUUGUUUUAUUUAUAUCUGCUACACAGUCUAAAUCUAGAAAUUCAUGUUGUCCAGUUAUUGGUUUAGGUGUCCAUUUUUUAUUUAAUCUUUUAUCCCAUAUAGUUUUUUCUCUAUCAUAUUGUCCAUAGUUUUCAUUAUAGUAUUUUGGAUUAAAAAUUUAUGGGUUUUUUAC
RNAcentral lists this long non-coding RNA (216 nucleotides) under Solanum tuberosum (potato). RNAcentral's name for it is "long non-coding RNA (STUB_LNC009698)". The record is from RNAcentral. Lineage: Eukaryota; Viridiplantae; Streptophyta; Magnoliopsida; Solanales; Solanaceae.